Molecule: ribosomal RNA, 467 nt
Filed under: uncultured bacterium
Lineage: Bacteria
Description: bacterial SSU rRNA
Rfam family: Bacterial small subunit ribosomal RNA
Source: RNAcentral
CAAGCGGUGGAGCAUGUGGUUCAAUUCGACGCAACGCGAAGAACCUUACCUGGGCUCGAAGCGCAGUGGACUGGGGUGGAAACAUCCCUUUCUCGCAAGAGACUGCUGCGGAGGUGCUGCAUGGCUGUCGUCAGCUCGUGUCGUGAGAUGUUGGGUUAAGUCCCGCAACGAGCGCAACCCUUAUCCCUAGUUGCCAUCGGGUCAAGCCGGGCACUCUAGUGAAACCGCCCCGGAUAACGGGGAGGAAGGUGGGGAUGACGUCAAGUCCUCAUGGCCUUUAUGUCCAGGGCUACACACGUGCUACAAUGGCCGAUACAAACCGUCGCAAACCCGCGAGGGGGAGCUAAUCGGAAAAAGUCGGCCCCAGUUCGGAUUGCAGUCUGCAACUCGACUGCAUGAAGCUGGAAUCGCUAGUAAUCGCGGAUCAGCACGCCGCGGUGAAUACGUUCCCGGGCCUUGUACACACC